CAAGUCGUACGAGAAAGUGGAGCAAUCCAUGAGUAAAGUGGCGACCGGGUGAGUAACACGUGACUACCUACCUUCUAGUGGGGGAUAACUCCGGGAAACCGGAGCUAAUACCGCAUAACAUCGCAAGAUCAAAGCAGCAAUGCGCUGGAAGAGGGGGUCGCGGCUGAUUAGCUAGUUGGUAGGGUAAUGGCCUACCAAGGCAAAGAUCGGUAUCCGGCCUGAGAGGGCGCACGGACACACUGGAACUGAAACACGGUCCAGACUCCUACGGGAGGCAGCAGUGGGGAAUUUUGCGCAAUGGGGGAAACCCUGACGCAGCAACGCCGCGUGGAGGAUGAAGUCCCUUGGGACGUAAACUCCUUUCGACCAAGACGAUAAUGACGGUACUGGUGGAAGAAGCACCGGCUAACUCUGUGCCAGCAGCCGCGGUAAUACAGAGGGUGCGAGCGUUGUUCGGAAUUAUUGGGCGUAAAGGGCGCGUAGGCGGCGCCACAAGUCACUUGUGAAAACUCUGGGCUCAACUCAGAGCCUGCAAGCGAAACUGUGGUGCUGGAGUAUGGGAGAGGUGCGUGGAAUUCCCGGUGUAGCGGUGAAAUGCGUANAUAUCGGGAGGAACACCUGUGGCGAAAGCGGCGCACUGGACCAUAACUGACGCUGAGGCGCGAAAGCUAGGGGAGCAAACAGGAUUAGAUACCCUGGUAGUCCUAGCCCUAAACGAUGAUUGCUUGGUGUGAUCGGUACCCAAUCCGAUCGUGCCGAAGCUAACGCGAUAAGCAAUCCGCCUGGGGAGUACGGUCGCAAGACUGAAACUCAAAGG
This 817-nucleotide ribosomal RNA is filed under the name uncultured Acidobacteriota bacterium. RNAcentral's name for it is "bacterial SSU rRNA". It matches the Rfam family "Bacterial small subunit ribosomal RNA", at positions 58 to 907 of the family's 1533-position model. Lineage: Bacteria; Pseudomonadati; Acidobacteriota. The record is from RNAcentral.